GAUGAAGAACGUAGCGAAAUGCGAUAAGGAGUGUGAAUUGCAGAAUUCAGUGAAUCAUCGAAUCUUUGAACGCACAUUGCGCCCCUUGGUAUUCCAUGGGGCAUGCCUGUUCGAGCGUCAUUUGUACCUUCAAGCUCUGCUUGGUGUUGGGUGUUUGUCUCGCCUCUGCGUGUAGACUCGCCUCAAAACAAUUGGCAGCCGGCGUAUUGAUUUCGGAGCGCAGUACAUCUCGCGCUUUGCACUCAUAACGACGACGUCCAAAAGUACAUUUUUACACUCUUGACCUCGGAUCAGGUAGGGAUACCCGCUGAACUUAAGCAUAUCAAUAAGCGGAGGA
Molecule: unclassified non-coding RNA, 337 nt
Filed under: soil metagenome
Description: partial contains 5.8S ribosomal RNA, internal transcribed spacer 2, and large subunit ribosomal RNA
Rfam family: 5.8S ribosomal RNA (bases 1-120)
Source: RNAcentral